This 465-nucleotide ribosomal RNA is filed under the name Vreelandella stevensii. RNAcentral's name for it is "partial 16S ribosomal RNA". It matches the Rfam family "Bacterial small subunit ribosomal RNA", at positions 338 to 795 of the family's 1533-position model. Lineage: Bacteria; Pseudomonadati; Pseudomonadota; Gammaproteobacteria; Oceanospirillales; Halomonadaceae. The record is from RNAcentral.
CCUACGGGUGGCAGCAGUGGGGAAUAUUGGACAAUGGGCGAAAGCCUGAUCCAGCCAUGCCGCGUGUGUGAAGAAGGCCUUCGGGUUGUAAAGCACUUUCAGUGGGGAAGAAAGCCUUGGGGCUAAUACCCUCGAGGAAGGACAUCACCCACAGAAGAAGCACCGGCUAACUCCGUGCCAGCAGCCGCGGUAAUACGGAGGGUGCGAGCGUUAAUCGGAAUUACUGGGCGUAAAGCGCGCGUAGGCGGUCUGAUAAGCCGGUUGUGAAAGCCCCGGGCUCAACCUGGGAACGGCAUCCGGAACUGUCAGGCUAGAGUGCAGGAGAGGAAGGUAGAAUUCCCGGUGUAGCGGUGAAAUGCGUAGAGAUCGGGAGGAAUACCAGUGGCGAAGGCGGCCUUCUGGACUGAAACUGACGCUGAGGUGCGAAAGCGUGGGUAGCAAACAGGAUUAGAUACCCCGGUAGUC